UACGUAGGGUGCGAGCGUUAAUCGGAAUUACUGGGCGUAAAGCGUGCGUAGGCGGUCGGCAAAGUCAGCUGUGAAAGCCCCGGGCUUAACCUGGGAAUGGCGGUUGAAACUAGUCGACUCGAAUCUGGCAGAGGGGGGUGGAAUUCCACGUGUAGCAGUGAAAUGCGUAGAGAUGUGGAGGAACACCGAUGGCGAAGGCAGCCCCCUGGGCUGAGAUUGACGCUCAGGCACGAAAGCGUGGGGAGCAAACAGG
Molecule: ribosomal RNA, 253 nt
Filed under: uncultured bacterium
Lineage: Bacteria
Description: partial 16S ribosomal RNA
Rfam family: Bacterial small subunit ribosomal RNA
Source: RNAcentral